Molecule: ribosomal RNA, 902 nt
Filed under: uncultured Macrococcus sp.
Lineage: Bacteria; Bacillati; Bacillota; Bacilli; Caryophanales; Staphylococcaceae
Description: bacterial SSU rRNA
Rfam family: Bacterial small subunit ribosomal RNA
Source: RNAcentral
GCUGGCGGCGUGGCUAAUACAUGCAAGUCGAGCGAACGGACGAGAGUGCUUGCACUCUCUGAUGUUAGCGGCGGACGGGUGAGUAACACGUGGGUAACCUACCUAUAAGACUGGGAUAACUUCGGGAAACCGGAGCUACUACCGGAUAAUAUUUAGCUUCGCAUGAAGCAAUAGUGAAAGACGGUUCUGCUGUCACUUAUAGAUGGACCCGCGGUGUAUUAGCUAGUUGGUGAGGUAACGGCUCAUCAAGGCAACGAUACAUAGCCGACCUGAGAGGGUGAUCGGCCACACUGGGACUGAGACACGGCCCAGACUCCUACGGGAGGCAGCAGUAGGGAAUCUUCCGCAAUGGACGAAAGUCUGACGGAGCAACGCCGCGUGAGUGAAGAAGGUUUUCGGAUCGUAAAACUCUGUUGUAAGGGAAGAACAAGUACGUUAGUAACUGAACAUACCUUGACGGUACCUUACCAGAAAGCCACGGCUAACUACGUGCCAGCAGCCGCGGUAAUACGUAGGUGGCAAGCGUUAUCCGGAAUUAUUGGGCGUAAAGCGCGCGUAGGCGGUCUCUUAAGUCUGAUGUGAAAGCCCCCGGCUCAACCGGGGAGGGUCAUUGGAAACUGGGAGACUUGAGUGCAGAAGAGGAGAGUGGAAUUCCAUGUGUAGCGGUGAAAUGCGCAGAGAUAUGGAGGAACACCAGUGGCGAAGGCGGCUCUCUGGUCUGUAACUGACGCUGAGGUGCGAAAGCGUGGGGAUCAAACAGGAUUAGAUACCCUGGUAGUCCACGCCGUAAACGAUGAGUGCUAAGUGUUGGGGGGUUUCCGCCCCUCAGUGCUGCAGCUAACGCAUUAAGCACUCCGCCUGGGGAGUACGGUCGCAAGACUGAAACUCAAAUGAAUUGACGG